This 513-nucleotide ribosomal RNA is filed under the name uncultured Pseudomonadota bacterium. RNAcentral's name for it is "bacterial SSU rRNA". It matches the Rfam family "Bacterial small subunit ribosomal RNA", at positions 392 to 896 of the family's 1533-position model. Lineage: Bacteria; Pseudomonadati; Pseudomonadota. The record is from RNAcentral.
CCAUGCCGCGUGUGUGAAGAAGGCCUUCGGGUUGUAAAGCACUUUCGGACGGAACGAAAUCGCGCGCAUGAAUAAUGCGCGUGGAUGACGGUACCGUAAGAAGAAGCACCGGCUAACUACGUGCCAGCAGCCGCGGUAAUACGUAGGGUGCAAGCGUUAAUCGGAAUUACUGGGCGUAAAGGGUGCGCAGGCGGCCCCGCAUGUCAGGCGUGAAAUCCCCGGGCUUAACUUGGGAAUGGCGCUUGAAACUACGGGGCUGGAGUGUGGCAGAGGGAGGUGGAAUUCCACGUGUAGCGGUGAAAUGCGUAGAGAUGUGGAGGAACACCGAUGGCGAAGGCAGCCUCCUGGGCCAACACUGACGCUCAUGCACGAAAGCGUGGGGAGCAAACAGGAUUAGAUACCCUGGUAGUCCACGCCCUAAACGAUGACGACUAGUUGUUGGGGGAGUUAAAUCCCUUAGUAACGCAGCUAACGCGUGAAGUCGUCCGCCUGGGGAGUACGGUCGCAAGAUUA